GGCCCGGUAGCUCAGUCGGUAGAGCAGAGGACUGAAAAUCCUUGUGUCGGCGGUUCAAUUCCGUCUUGGGCCACCA
Molecule: transfer RNA, 76 nt
Filed under: Bdellovibrio sp.
Lineage: Bacteria; Pseudomonadati; Bdellovibrionota; Bdellovibrionia; Bdellovibrionales; Pseudobdellovibrionaceae
Description: tRNA-Phe
Rfam family: tRNA
About the family: Transfer RNA (tRNA) molecules are approximately 80 nucleotides in length. Their secondary structure includes four short double-helical elements and three loops (D, anti-codon, and T loops).
Source: RNAcentral